UUAACGAUUAUGUGGGUAAAGUUGGAAAUAAAGUAUUAUACUUAUAAAUAAAAGUUUA
Molecule: transfer RNA, 58 nt
Filed under: Dracunculus medinensis (Guinea worm)
Lineage: Eukaryota; Metazoa; Nematoda; Chromadorea; Rhabditida; Dracunculidae
Description: tRNA-Val
Source: RNAcentral